Molecule: ribosomal RNA, 301 nt
Filed under: uncultured bacterium
Lineage: Bacteria
Description: partial 16S ribosomal RNA
Rfam family: Bacterial small subunit ribosomal RNA
Source: RNAcentral
CAGCAGCCGCGGGAAUACGUAGGGUGCAAGCGUUAAUCGGAAUUACUGGGCGUAAAGCGUGCGCAGGCGGUUAUAUAAGACAGAUGUGAAAUCCCCGGGCUCAACCUGGGAACUGCAUUUGUGACUGUAUAGCUAGAGUACGGCAGAGGGGGAUGGAAUUCCGCGUGUAGCAGUGAAAUGCGUAGAUAUGCGGAGGAACACCGAUGGCGAAGGCAAUCCCCUGGGCCUGCACUGACGCUCAUGCACGAAAGCGUGGGGAGCAAACAGGAUUAGAUACCCCAGUAGUCCCUGUCUCUUAUAC